This is a long non-coding RNA of Perognathus longimembris pacificus (Pacific pocket mouse), 677 nucleotides long. RefSeq lists it as uncharacterized. The transcript has 3 exons. The record is from RefSeq and is a predicted model, not a curated record. Lineage: Eukaryota; Metazoa; Chordata; Mammalia; Rodentia; Heteromyidae.
AGUACAUGUCAUAACCUUCACUAAGAGAAGGUCUCAGAACACUGGGGGCUUCUGAAACAAGCUGUUGAACCUGGAUAGUUCCCUAGGAGUCAGGUUUUCUCUGCAACACAUUCAGCUGAACAAGAUGCAAUGGUGGGUGACCUGAAUUCCUCCAACCUCUAUUAUUGCCCAGCUUUCUUAUUAUAACCACUUUUUCCAUCCUGACAAGGCACUCCCAGAUAUGACUAACAAAACUAAAGUGGAAGAGGUUUAAAAAUUAUCUGGCAUCUGUUUGAACUGAAUCACUAAACUGAAUUCCAAUUACUCGGGAAAUUAUUGUCCUUUUGGAAAGAAUACAUCCAAACUUCAUGCAUGUCACCACCUACUAGGAAACAGCAGAGGCAGAUCUGAAUUUGUCAGAGGGAAGAGCACCAGCCUGAAUUCUUGACGAAUGUACAUUUACAUUUUGGGCCUUGGCAGAAUUAAUCAGCAUCCAUAAUCCAUUUUGUAAAGAUCUUCGAAGAAAUGGCUACUCAGGAAGAUUAACGGGCUUUGAUUUGCAACUUUGUGCUUCCGUCGAAGAACCAGAAGGGGUUAAAAUGUUUUCCCAUGCCUGGCUCUGCUCAGCCUUCAUGGCCCAUAGAAGUGUGGAACUACAGAAUCAUACCGUGUGUCUUUCUUUGACUUGCCACUUAUUC